CGAGUACAAAAUAGUAUCUUCCAUCCUAAUGGGUUAUUUUCUCUGUUUAUCUUAUCUAUUGGUUGCAAAUUUGCAAUGCAAUGCUUCUAAUAUCAAAUGUUGGUUUGUUUUGUUCCUGAAUCCUAUUUUAAACAAAUUAAAGCUUUGCUUACUUUUAUAUGUACUUUUAAAAUUAAAAGAAAAUUUAUUUUUUUCAAAUGGUUUCGAAAUGUGGAUUCUCUUCUUUCCAUGUGGCAUCAUUGUGAGUAGUUGAAUUUGUAGGUGCAUUGUUUUAACCAAUUCUAUAUCAGUACUUUAAUUUGAUUUGUUUGCCUUCUCA
This 319-nucleotide unclassified non-coding RNA is filed under the name uncultured bacterium. RNAcentral describes it as "contains 16S-23S intergenic spacer region". The record is from RNAcentral.